GAUGAGCGCUGGCGGCGUGCCUAAUACAUGCAAGUAGAACGCUGAAGGAAGGAGCUUGCUCUUUCCGGAUGAGUUGCGAACGGGUGAGUAACGCGUAGGUAACCUGCCUGGUAGCGGGGGAUAACUAUUGGAAACGAUAGCUAAUACCGCAUAACAGUAGAUGUUGCAUGAUAUCUACUUAAAAGGUGCAAUUGCACCACUACCAGAUGGACCUGCGUUGUAUUAGCUAGUUGGUGAGGUAACGGCUCACCAAGGCGACGAUACAUAGCCGACCUGAGAGGGUGAUCGGCCACACUGGGACUGAGACACGGCCCAGACUCCUACGGGAGGCAGCAGUAGGGAAUCUUCGGCAAUGGACGGAAGUCUGACCGAGCAACGCCGCGUGAGUGAAGAAGGGUGUCGGAUCGUAAAGCUCUGUUGUAAGAGAAGAACGAGUGUGAGAGUGGAAAGUUCACACUGUGACGGUAUCUUACCAGAAAGGGACGGCUAACUACGUG
Molecule: ribosomal RNA, 497 nt
Filed under: uncultured bacterium
Lineage: Bacteria
Description: partial 16S ribosomal RNA
Rfam family: Bacterial small subunit ribosomal RNA
Source: RNAcentral